RNAcentral lists this long non-coding RNA (1919 nucleotides) under Marmota monax (woodchuck). The record is from RNAcentral. Lineage: Eukaryota; Metazoa; Chordata; Mammalia; Rodentia; Sciuridae.
GACAGUGUAGCUAUACAGUGUUUUUGCUAACAUUAAGAAAAUUACAGGAAAGAUCUCCUGGAGUUUUUAAACUUAUUUUAAAAAAUUCCUUCAGUGAGAUGGUGGUAUAAUAUUGAAGGUAGAAAGACUCAUUCAUGAUCAGGCUACUUUGACCCUGAUUGGCCCUUUUUGAUGGAAAUACUGGAUCUCCAAUAACAGACAUUUCAUUUGAAUUCAUUGGCUCAAAGUGUCUUAGAAAGCCUGUUUUCUGAAGAUAUUUGUGUUUUACAAGUUGCAGAAUUUGUUUUUUCUGGGACUGACAAGCUUUUAGCUUUUAACAGUAACUGAUAGCUAAGCUUAACAUUUACAUGCACAUCACUUGCAUAUCACAGUUAAAGACUUCUUUUUAAGAAUGUCAAAAACAACUGGUUGUGGUCAUGUACACCCAGGAAAUGACAAGUUCAACAUCAGCCCCUGCAACAUAGAGAUGGCCUAAGCAAUUGAGCCAAGAUCCUGUCUCAAAAUAAAAAGGACUGGGGAUGUAGCUCAGUGUUAAAAUGUCCCUGGGUUCUGUCCUUAAUUCCAGCAACAACAAAAAGAAUGUCAAAGACAGGUUUUUCAAUGCAUAAGGGAUACAUUAUCACCACCUCUUAAGUUAAGAACUCCCUAAUUUAGCUGGGAAUAUAGCUCAGUGGUAGAGAUCACAAGUACCCACAAGGCCCUGGGUUUGAUCCUCAGCAGCAAAAAAUAAAACAAAUAGAACUUUCCAAUAAAAGAGUUGUAAAGUCCUUUUUCUUUAGUUCCCAAGAUCUACUCUAAUAAGUUGGCUUUAAUCAAAUAUUUUAUUGUAAUUUUCAGUAUAAUUAAGAAAAUCAAGUAGCAUUACACCUAAAUCUGUUUUAGUGGUUUCAGAAGUGCUUUAAUCCUUUUUGUCAAGUACUACCAAUAUAAAAAAUGAAUUUUAUUUUUUCUAACAAUCCUUUUUUUUGUUUGGUUAAUAAUUCUUCGGUUACUUCUGAAGUGACAGUUACAUUUCAAAGAUGUGUAGCUACUCCACUAACAUUUUCUUGUUUGUUUUGUAGCCAGCAUAUGCUUUCCGAAAUUCUUUUUAUUGUUGGUGGUAUAUUUUUAUUCAUAUUAUUAAUAACAUUUGUCAGAUGUUUGGGUUUGGCCUUUAAUUUUUAAAAUCAUUUUACUUCUAAAGAAGUCUUAUCGUGGCAGGUUUCUGGGUUGGGAAUUUAUUGGAAACAGGACAUGAGAGUACUUUGUGGUAGUAGAUGAUUAUAAUUACAUGCCAAAACGAGUAUACAUUAUUACAUGUAAAACUGUUAACAUGGAUACAAAAAUGGAAAGAAAAAUUUCAAAUUUGGGGUCUGCAUAUCUGAAAAUUAGACAAAAGAUUCAGAAAUCGGGUUUAAAAUUGAGAAGAUAGUCAUGGGGUUUGGGUUUUAUAGUCCAGUGCUUAGCCUCUGUGAAGCUCUGGGUUCAGUCCCUAGCACCAAAGGAAAGAAAAUAGUCAUAAAGAUAAGUAAAAGCUGAGUAGGCACAAUAGGAGUUUUGUUUUGUUUUUUUUUAAUGCCAGUGGAAAUACAAUGAAGAAAUUAACUAUGAGAAAUGGUUAGUUGAUUAUGGGGAUGUGGUAAAGUUGUAUUAAAGAGACUGAAUUGUGUUAUUUCCAACAAAAAGGGAUCCUAUGAUUUACAGGGAUGAGUUUUGGGAAGGCAGGCGCUGCAUUUUGUUUAUAACACAAUUUUCCAGCUUUAUAUAACAGCAUGCCAUACUGCUAUAAUGACAUGAACAUGUUUGCUUUGAGAUUUAAGCUAGUUUUAAUAGGCAAUGAUAAUUAAACCCUCUAGAUUCUGUAGUUGGAAAAAUAUUUUUACAGUUAUCAGCAUACUACUAUAGAAAUACUCUGAAGAAUGGGCAUUAUGCAGGUAAGA